RNAcentral lists this ribosomal RNA (314 nucleotides) under uncultured bacterium. Its description in RNAcentral is "partial 16S ribosomal RNA". It matches the Rfam family "Bacterial small subunit ribosomal RNA", at positions 499 to 807 of the family's 1533-position model. The record is from RNAcentral.
UUAUAAGAGACAGCAGUAGCCGCGGUAAUACAGAGGGUGCGAGCGUUAAUCGGAUUUACUGGGCGUAAAGCGUGCGUAGGCGGCUUCUUAAGUCGGAUGUGAAAUCCCUGAGCUUAACUUAGGAAUUGCAUUCGAUACUGGGAAGCUAGAGUAUGGGAGAGGAUGGUAGAAUUCCAGGUGUAGCGGUGAAAUGCGUAGAGAUCUGGAGGAAUACCGAUGGCGAAGGCAGCCAUCUGGCCUAAUACUGACGCUGAGGUACGAAAGCAUGGGGAGCAAACAGGAUUAGAUACCCCCGUAGUCCCUGUCUCUUAUAC